GUGCUUACCUUACAGCACACAUACUAAAACUGGAAUGACAAAGAGAAGAUUAGUAUAGCCCCUGUGUAGCAAUGACACACAGACCUAUGAAGCAUUUCAGUUUUUA
Erinaceus europaeus (western European hedgehog) is the source of this 106-nucleotide small nuclear RNA. The record is from Ensembl. NCBI's taxonomy places the organism in Eukaryota, Metazoa, Chordata, Mammalia, Eulipotyphla, Erinaceidae.